RNAcentral lists this long non-coding RNA (679 nucleotides) under Sorghum bicolor (sorghum). RNAcentral describes it as "long non-coding RNA (SBIC_LNC007279)". Lineage: Eukaryota; Viridiplantae; Streptophyta; Magnoliopsida; Poales; Poaceae. The record is from RNAcentral.
CGCUCGGCUUGAAUUUUGGUGCACCGAAUCGAGAAAUAGGUGAACUCCGGCGAGGUGGGGUGUUCCCGGCCAUGGCGCCGCCGUGAUGGUGCCCUGCACCGGCCGGCGUUCAUCCCUCCUCCCCCUCAGAAUGGAUCAAGACCGCCCGUUUCUAAUCCAACGGUCGAAAUCGGCCGAUACCCCUUCGCGUGGUCAUUUUGUUUAAGAGCCCCUGGGAAACUUGAUAACCAACCCGCGGUCCAAGGCGUAAUCACUAGUUUACGCUUUCCUUUUCAGUUUUCUGGUUGGCUGAAUCCAAAAUGCGCUUUCCAAUAUUUACAGAAUUGCCACUGAACUUAUAAUGCUUAUAAAAUGGUCAUUUUAAGUCCGUUUUUGUCCAUUCAAAUUCCGUUGGAUUCGUAUUUACGAUCUCUACAUGUUAGAGGUAUUAGUUUACUGUUUUGAAACUUUUUAAUUCUGCAGUAGCAUUUAAUUAAUUAUUCCUCUAUAGGAAAUCUUAGAAAAUUCAUAUCUUUCACGUUUUAAUUCCGAUUUCGUGAACUUUACGUUUGUGUGAUCGUAGCGCUGCGUAGAAUAUUUUUAUAAACUUUUAUCUUUGAUUUCUCACUGCUGGUAUAAUGUUCUAAUUAGAUCUUGUUUGCUUUGUGUAUGAUUGUCUACAUUGGAUUGCGUGUUGUUG